Molecule: long non-coding RNA, 3713 nt
Filed under: Callithrix jacchus (white-tufted-ear marmoset)
Lineage: Eukaryota; Metazoa; Chordata; Mammalia; Primates; Cebidae
Description: lncRNA (ENSCJAG00000081508.1)
Source: RNAcentral
GCUGCCUGAGAAGCACAAGUGCUUGGGGCUCUCAUACCUCUUUAGACUUACCAGACUCAGGCCUCUCUAUACUAAGGAGGAUGAAGAGUGUGCCCAUGACUGGGGGUUACCUAACACAGACCCCAGUUCUCCUCGGAAGACCACACUCAUCAGGUGAUAAGGCUCCUGAGACCUUGGUUUAUUCAAUUCUCAAACAUUUACAUUUACAUCCAUUAUGGAAGGGAUACCUAAGUUGACUUAAUAUGGCCCUACCUCUAAGGGCCACACAGUUGGAGAACCAUCCAGAAAAGCACACAAGGAUGCUACCUUUGUGCAAAAAAUAAUACCAAAACUGAACAUAGUCCACCCAAGAAAGGAAUUCAACACCAAAGCCUGAGUCCAUUUGAAGACUGGUAGGUUGGCUUCACACAGAGGCCCAGAGCAAGUGAAAACUAUAAAUUUCUACUUAGUGUUUGUAAUGUGUUCUCAGGAUGGAUUGAAGCAUCCCUCACUGAGUCUGAAAAGGCUACAGAAGUAGCAAAAGCUUUCCUAAAUGAAAUAACUCCUCGUUUUGGACUUCCUUGUUCUAUAUAAUGUGAUAGGGGUUCUUUUGUUUCCAGGAUUACCAGGAGGAUAAGUCAAGCAUUACAGAUGAAAUGGAAAUUGCAUUCAUCAUGGAGUCCACAGUCAACAAGAAAGACAGAGAAAAUAAACCAACCUUUGAAAAAAAUGGUAGCUAAUCUCUAUCAAGAAAUGGAUUUAAGUUGGAAAAGGGUCAUACCCAUUGCCUUUAUCAGAGUAGUGCCCUGAAGCAGUCUAGGGUUAACCCCUUUAAAAUUUGUUUAUAGAAGUCCCUUCCAAACUUCCUUCCUGAAAAUCCCACCUUUAGAUCUAGUAGGUGAGCCAAGACUUAAACAAUAAAAUGACAAUUAGGGGAGACAUUACUAACUAUGCAUCAGUUUUCCCUUUCCAGGUCUGCAUAUCCCACAGACAAGCCUCUUCACCCUUUCUACCCAGGAAACAAAGUGCUGCUGAAGUCUUGGAAAAACAAAGGACAAGACCAACAGCUGCUGAAAAGUGGACAGAAUCUGAACAUAUUGCUAGCUCAUUAGUGAACCCAUCUGGAGGCUUGGAUAUGUCUUUAUCAGCAGUGUGAAAACAGACUAAUACAGCAAACUGGUACCAGUAGAGUGGAGCAUUGCUGGAAAAAUACCCAAAAAUGUGGAAGCAACUUUGGUACUGGAUAACAAGCAGAGGCAGUUUGGAGGGCUCAGAAAAAGACAAGAAAAUGUGGGAAAGUUCGGAAUUUCCUAGACUUGUUGAAUGGCUUUGACAAAAAUAUUGAUAAUGAUAUGGACAAUGAAAUCCAGGUCUAGGUGGUCUCAGAUGAAGAUGAGGUACUUGGGAAUUGGAGCAAAGGUAACUCUUGUUAUGUUUAUCAGGUGUUUCUACUUGCGCAUCCUUCCCAUUUUCUCUACCCACCGCCAUGUAAGAAAUGCCUUUCACCUCCCACCAUGAUUCUGAGGCCUCCCAAGAUAUGUUGAACUGUAAGUUCAAUUAAACCUCUUUUUCUUCCCAGGCCGAGGUAUGUCUUUAUCAGCAGUGUGAAACCAGACUAAUACAAUAGCAUUCUUUCUUUUUGUCCUAGAAGCAAGAAAUCCCUGAUUUACCUUUAUUUUUGGACUAUCCUAUUCUAUCCAAACCUGAUUGUUUCAUUUUCCUUAGGAAAUUUCAAGAGUUUUCUUUUUUUCCAUAAACAUGUUGCCAAUAAAUAACCUAUUCCACUGGCCUCCUGAGCUUAAGCCUUUCUCAUUUCCACUUAUUUCAAAUAUUAUUGCUAGUUGUUAAAGUUCUCAAAUUUGAUUUGACCACUCCAUUAUAAUGAGAUCUCAUCGCAUUUAGGAGUUCUAAUAUGAAAAUCACUUAUUCAUUGAUGGCAUACUAUAGAUUCUGUGGCUUACACAAAGAAGUAUACAGGGGGGCUUCAAGAUAGCUAACUAGAGGCAUCUGGUACUUGCCUCCUCCACAAAGAAGAACCAAAAUGGUGAGUAGAUAAACACACUUCAAACAGAAAAUCUGGGAGAGAACAUAUUAGACUUUUAACAGAAAAGUGACAGGAAACACUUAAAGUGAAGAUAAAAAGAACAAGGUAUCUGUUUGGCCAGGAUCAGCUGGGAGCCUACAAAGGCUCCCCAGUGUAGGGAAAGAGUAAGUGAGUGACUCCUGUAGUUCACAUUCUCACUAUGGACUUUUGUAUGCGAGCCACAGGAAAGCCUCUAAACCCUCACGGUCCCCAGACUAAUAUAGGGAGCAAGUGGGGACAGAUCUGAAGAGAAAGCUCAAACUGAGUCUCACACACACCGAGUCCUAAACAUCUACAGCAAAGCACCAUAUUGAAAGACCAGAUCCCAAAAGACUACAUCUUGUCUGGGGGCCAAACAGACCAUGCAUGUCCACAUUUCUGGAGCCUCAUUGAUAUUUCCCAACAGCAGCCACUACUAUAGUUGACUGCUACCUCCAUGACUGAAGCACAAGCCAUUUGCAAAGGCCACACUGCCCCCAGUAGAGAAGUUGCAGUAUAUUUUCCUGGACUCCAGGGACAAACAUCACUUCUCACAGUAGCUGCCAUUUCAAGCUGCCACAACUGGGGCCAAAACACUUGUAAAGUACUUACUCCCCAGCUGCCUGCAUUUGGUUGCUGCCACUGAAAGCAACUCUUCCCUCCUCAGAAACAAGCCUGCAGCACAGCCAUUGCCAUCCCCACCCAAGCAUUACACUCUGGUCCUAAGUAUUGCCCUACCCAAGCAUACCACAACCAGUGUCUGCACACAUCACCAGAAGGCUUGCAGAAAGGUCUUCCCAGCCAAACUCUGCCCUGCAAUGCCUGAACAUGCCUUCUAGGGGUCCAGGGAACAUGCAGCCCAGGCAAUUAUCAUUGGAACCAGAGAACUCCUCCAAGGAUCCUAGGUCAGGCCCACCCAACCUGCUACCACCACCACUGCAAGCACCCACCUGUAGGCCUGGUGACUAACUCAUGCAACUUGUCACAGCCACUGCCAACACCAGUGUGAAGCAAGUGGGACCCAGAGGUUAGUUCCAUCACUGCUACUACCAUCUCCCAUACAACACUCACUACUCAGAGGCCUAAACCCGCCCACCUACUUGGCCCACUGCUGCCACUGCCAGCACCUAAGCAAGUUUCCAGGAGGCCCAAACCUGUGUGCACCCUCUAACACUGGUGCCAGUGUUGCUAUCCUGGAGCCCAAGAACAGUCAUGUUCAGCCUACUACUGCCACAACUGGAGUCCAAGGACAGGCCCAUCUGGCAUCCCCAUUUCAGCAAAACUUCCCCAGUGACCCUGAUAACAAAUAAGAGAGAAAAUAAGAAGGAUGCAAUAACCUAAUCUACCAAGGAAAUCACAAACAGCACUGAUGCUAUGUACAGCAAAAUAAAUUAUAUUGAGACUAUACUACUGUAUGCAUCCAGUAUCAAAGCCAAAGUGUCUGACCUAACCAGCAUGACAGAUACAUCUUCAGUCCUCCCUUAGAAAAGCAGCAAAUUCAAAACAUUGAAACAAGCUCUCAUUAGACAAGAUGUGCAGAUAUCAAUGUAAAGACACAAAAAUAUUUUUUAAAAAAAGAUAUGACACCUCCAAGGAAUACAGUAAUACUCCAGCAAUAGAGUUCAAUUAAAAAGAACUUUAUAAAAUCCUAAAUAAAGAAUUUGAAAUAAUA